GGGGAUUUACCUCAGUUGGUAGAGCGCUCGCUUUGCAUGCGAGAGGUACCGGGAUCGAUACCCGGAUUCUCCA
RNAcentral lists this transfer RNA (73 nucleotides) under Octopus bimaculoides (California two-spot octopus). Its description in RNAcentral is "transfer RNA alanine (anticodon UGC)". It matches the Rfam family "tRNA". Rfam says of the family: Transfer RNA (tRNA) molecules are approximately 80 nucleotides in length. The record is from RNAcentral. Lineage: Eukaryota; Metazoa; Mollusca; Cephalopoda; Octopoda; Octopodidae.